RNAcentral lists this ribosomal RNA (252 nucleotides) under uncultured bacterium. RNAcentral's name for it is "partial 16S ribosomal RNA". It matches the Rfam family "Bacterial small subunit ribosomal RNA", at positions 524 to 775 of the family's 1533-position model. The record is from RNAcentral.
UACGGGGGGGGCAAGCGUUGUUCGGAAUUACUGGGCGUAAAGGGCUCGUAGGCGGCCAACUAAGUCGGAUGUGAAAUCCCCAGGCUCAACCUGGGAACUGCAUCCGAUACUGGAUGGCUUGAAUUCGGGAGAGGGAUGCAGAAUUCCAGGUGUAGCGGUGAAAUGCGUAGAUAUCUGGAGGAAUACCGGUGGCGAAGGCGGCAUCCUGGACCGACAUUGACGCUGAUGAGCGAAAGCUAGGGGAGCAAACGG